Mobula hypostoma (lesser devil ray) is the source of this 570-nucleotide long non-coding RNA. RefSeq lists it as uncharacterized. The transcript is spliced from 3 exons. NCBI's taxonomy places the organism in Eukaryota, Metazoa, Chordata, Chondrichthyes, Myliobatiformes, Myliobatidae. The record is from RefSeq and is a predicted model, not a curated record.
UUUUAAACUACAAUGCAAACAACUCAAACCUAUCUCGGACCAAAAUAGUAUGUAGUUUGAUUUCUGUGCCAUACAAGCUGUAUAGUACACGAGGAGACCAUUCGGUUUUAUGCCAGUGAAGGCGUUGAAAGAUAUAACGAUUAAAGCUGGAGAAAUCACAGAGGGCUGGAAGACUGGAAGGGAAAAGUCAGAGUCAAGUUUCAUUGUCAUUUGCGUUUUUUUGAAGACCCUGACGUGGAGUUACAUGCUGACUUCGAUUCUUUGUGGAAAUGGGACCGCUCUUGGGGCCUCACGACAGACCGCUUUUCGAUAGGCCAAGGAUGCGGCCUGGAAGACUAGCGCGCCUUCAGGGAGCCAGAUUUUCGUGGCUCUGGAGGUGGGCAGAUUCAAGGUUGGUGCUACUGCCUGAUGAAUCGUGGGAGUACAUGGAAGAUCAUAAGAAGUGAGCUGACUGCUGGCUGUGUGCCCAAGGAACCGAGUUCUUCGGGCACAGAGCUCAGAAAAAGCGACACAAAAGACUUUUAACACCAUAAAUCAGUGAGUUGUUUUGAUAUGUCUCUCCUCUUGCUG